Schistosoma rodhaini is the source of this 45-nucleotide non-coding RNA. Lineage: Eukaryota; Metazoa; Platyhelminthes; Trematoda; Strigeidida; Schistosomatidae. The record is from Rfam.
AUCCAGCUGACGCGUCCCAAAUAGGACGAAACGCGUGUCCUGGAU